This 431-nucleotide ribosomal RNA is filed under the name uncultured prokaryote. Its description in RNAcentral is "bacterial SSU rRNA". It matches the Rfam family "Bacterial small subunit ribosomal RNA", at positions 355 to 776 of the family's 1533-position model. RNAcentral also lists the same sequence under 1 other name. The record is from RNAcentral.
UCUAGAAGCUUCGGCAAUGGGCGAAAGCCUGACCGAGCGACGCCGCGUGCGGGACGAAGGUCUUCGGAUUGUAAACCGCUUUCGACCGGGAUGAACGGCCGGGGGGUGAAUAGCCCUGCGGUUUGACAGUACCGGGAGAAGAAGCCCCGGCUAACUCCGUGCCAGCAGCCGCGGUAAUACGGAGGGGGCAAGCGUUGUUCGGAUUUAUUGGGCGUAAAGCGCGCGUAGGCGGUGCAGUAAGUCGGAUGUUAAAGACCCACGGCUCACCCGGGGGAAUGAGUCCGAUACUGCUGUGCUGGAGUGUGGAAGAGGAGAGGGGAAUUCCAGGUGUAGCGGUGAAAUGCGUAGAUAUCUGGAGGAACACCGGUGGCGAAGGCGGCUCUCUGGUCCAUAACUGACGCUGAGGCGCGAAAGCGUGGGGAGCGAACGGG